UCCCCGAGAAGAUCACCCAGCUCGUCAUGCUAGAGCACUUUUUUAAUGUAACGAGAAGGCGACGACGCAUUUGUAUGUCAAUCCAUAUCAGCUUUCGAUGCCAUUGACUGCACCUACCAUGGUGACCACGGUAAUGGGGAAUCAGGGUUCGAUUCCGUACAGUGACCCUGACAAAUGGCUAUCACAUGCAAGGAAGGCAGCAGACGCGCAAAUGACCCACUCCCGACGCGGGAAGGUAGUGACGACAAAUAACAAUACAGGACUCUUUAGAGGCCCUGUAAUUGUAAUGAGUCCACUUGAAAUCCUUUAACUCUGAUCAAUUGGAGGGAAGUCUGGUGCAGAGCCACUGGCCCUUGCA
This 358-nucleotide ribosomal RNA is filed under the name Pelobates cultripes (western spadefoot toad). It matches the Rfam family "Eukaryotic small subunit ribosomal RNA", at positions 235 to 587 of the family's 1831-position model. The record is from RNAcentral. Lineage: Eukaryota; Metazoa; Chordata; Amphibia; Anura; Pelobatidae.